Molecule: ribosomal RNA, 486 nt
Filed under: Streptococcus mutans
Lineage: Bacteria; Bacillati; Bacillota; Bacilli; Lactobacillales; Streptococcaceae
Description: bacterial SSU rRNA
Rfam family: Bacterial small subunit ribosomal RNA
Source: RNAcentral
GACGAACGCUGGCGGCGUGCCUAAUACAUGCAAGUGGGACGCAAGGGAACACACUGUGCUCGCACACCGUGUUUUCUUGAGUCGCGAACGGGUGAGUAACGCGUAGGUAACCUGCCUAUUAGCGGGGGAUAACUAUUGGAAACGAUAGCUAAUACCGCAUAAUAUUAAUUAUUGCAUGAUAAUUGAUUGAAAGAUGCAAGCGCAUCACUAGUAGAUGGACCUGCGUUGUAUUAGCUAGUUGGUAAGGUAAGAGCUUACUAAGGCGACGAUACAUAGCCGACCUGAGAGGGUGAUCGGCCACACUGGGACUGAGACACGGCCCAGACUCCUACGGGAGGCAGCAGUAGGGAAUCUUCGGCAAUGGACGAGAGUCUGACCGAGCAACGCCGCGUGAGUGAAGAAGGUUUUCGGAUCGUAAAGCUCUGUUGUAAGUCAAGAACGUGUGUGAGAGUGGAAAGUUCACACAGUGACGGAGCUACCAGAAAG